GGCAAAUCUACAGAUGUCAGGACUUGAGACACGAUUACUGGGAAAAAGGAAGUAAUCCGGGAGUUUCAUCGAUGACCGAUUGCAAGGUACUGGCACCGAGCAGCGCACCAGCGAGGUCUGCCUGCCAGCUUGGUUUCCUCCGGCUUCCAGAUUAACAUUCCAGCGACCAGAGCGGUUGCGGAUUGUGCGGCCUGAAGAUACGAACGAUCGUUGGACCAUUCCGCAAACACGGAAAAGGGAACAUCUACCCCGACACAGAAGCGUACAGCUGCAAUUUUCUUUCCGAAAUUGCUGAACACGAUGACGACGAGGUGACGAACAUACACAACUUGAGGCUGAAGCACGAUACAGAUGGAUUUACUACCACGGCGGAUGGACCUCGAUAUCUGUCGAUUGCGGGGCGGGGAAUCGAUCGCGUUUUACGCAGAACUUUCACGUCCGACGUGUUCCGCCAGUCGGGCACCUUCGUCGGCAGAAGAGGGCCGGCACCGCCCCUGCGGCCUUCGCUGGUCCAGACAGCCGAGGCGGAGGGAAUCUGAUCCGAAAAUAAAUAAGAGUUCAUCAGUGGACGCUGCAGUCCCGUGACACGUCACGAUAGGAACGUAUACGAGCUUCUGGGAACCACUGCACAUGGGCGAAGUUCUUGGGCCUACACGCGAGCGGGCGUGUAGGAG
Long non-coding RNA from Neodiprion fabricii, 674 nucleotides. RefSeq lists it as uncharacterized. The transcript has 3 exons. The record is from RefSeq and is a predicted model, not a curated record. Lineage: Eukaryota; Metazoa; Arthropoda; Insecta; Hymenoptera; Diprionidae.